AUACAUAUUGGUGUUGCCUGAUGC
RNAcentral lists this non-coding RNA (24 nucleotides) under Gossypium hirsutum (cotton). Lineage: Eukaryota; Viridiplantae; Streptophyta; Magnoliopsida; Malvales; Malvaceae. The record is from RNAcentral.